This 403-nucleotide ribosomal RNA is filed under the name uncultured organism. RNAcentral's name for it is "bacterial SSU rRNA". It matches the Rfam family "Bacterial small subunit ribosomal RNA", at positions 355 to 775 of the family's 1533-position model. The record is from RNAcentral.
UGGGGAAUCUUGGACAAUGGGGGCAACCCUGAUCCAGCGACGCCGCGUGGGUGACGAAGGCCUUCGGGUUGUAAAGCCCUUUUCUCGGGGAAGAUGAUGACGGUACCCGAGGAAUAAGCACCGGCUAACUCCGUGCCAGCAGCCGCGGUAAGACGGAGGGUGCUAGCGUUGUUCGGAAUUACUGGGCGUAAAGGGCGCGUAGGCGGCCUGAGAAGUCGGAUGUGAAAGCCCGGGGCUCAACCCCGGAACGGCAUUCGAAACUUUUGGGCUCGAGAACGGAAGAGGAGAGUGGAAUACCCAGUGUAGAGGUGAAAUUCGUAGAUAUUGGGUGGAACACCGGUGGCGAAAGCGGCUCUCUGGUCCGGAUCUGACGCUGAGGCGCGAAAGCGUGGGGAGCAAACAG